AGUGUAGGCGGUUGGUCAAGUCGGAUGUGAAAGCUUCACCACUCAACGGGAAGACGUCAUCCGAAACUGGUCGGCUAGAGUAGGGUAGAGGCAAGCGGAAUUCCUGGUGUAGCGGUGGAAUGUGUAGAUAUCAGGAAGAACAUCGGUGGCGAAGGCGGCUUGCUGGGCCCUUACUGACGCUGAGACUCGAAAGCGUGGGGAGCAAACGG
Molecule: ribosomal RNA, 209 nt
Filed under: uncultured bacterium
Lineage: Bacteria
Description: partial 16S ribosomal RNA
Rfam family: Bacterial small subunit ribosomal RNA
Source: RNAcentral